This 1503-nucleotide ribosomal RNA is filed under the name Salmonella enterica subsp. enterica serovar Lindenburg. Its description in RNAcentral is "bacterial SSU rRNA". It matches the Rfam family "Bacterial small subunit ribosomal RNA". Lineage: Bacteria; Pseudomonadati; Pseudomonadota; Gammaproteobacteria; Enterobacterales; Enterobacteriaceae. The record is from RNAcentral.
AGAGUUUGAUCCUGGCUCAGAUUGAACGCUGGCGGCAGGCCUAACACAUGCAAGUCGAACGGUAACAGGAAGCAGCUUGCUGCUUUGCUGACGAGUGGCGGACGGGUGAGUAAUGUCUGGGAAACUGCCUGAUGGAGGGGGAUAACUACUGGAAACGGUGGCUAAUACCGCAUAACGUCGCAAGACCAAAGAGGGGGACCUUCGGGCCUCUUGCCAUCAGAUGUGCCCAGAUGGGAUUAGCUUGUUGGUGAGGUAACGGCUCACCAAGGCGACGAUCCCUAGCUGGUCUGAGAGGAUGACCAGCCACACUGGAACUGAGACACGGUCCAGACUCCUACGGGAGGCAGCAGUGGGGAAUAUUGCACAAUGGGCGCAAGCCUGAUGCAGCCAUGCCGCGUGUAUGAAGAAGGCCUUCGGGUUGUAAAGUACUUUCAGCGGGGAGGAAGGUGUUGUGGUUAAUAACCACAGCAAUUGACGUUACCCGCAGAAGAAGCACCGGCUAACUCCGUGCCAGCAGCCGCGGUAAUACGGAGGGUGCAAGCGUUAAUCGGAAUUACUGGGCGUAAAGCGCACGCAGGCGGUCUGUCAAGUCGGAUGUGAAAUCCCCGGGCUCAACCUGGGAACUGCAUUCGAAACUGGCAGGCUUGAGUCUUGUAGAGGGGGGUAGAAUUCCAGGUGUAGCGGUGAAAUGCGUAGAGAUCUGGAGGAAUACCGGUGGCGAAGGCGGCCCCCUGGACAAAGACUGACGCUCAGGUGCGAAAGCGUGGGGAGCAAACAGGAUUAGAUACCCUGGUAGUCCACGCCGUAAACGAUGUCUACUUGGAGGUUGUGCCCUUGAGGCGUGGCUUCCGGAGCUAACGCGUUAAGUAGACCGCCUGGGGAGUACGGCCGCAAGGUUAAAACUCAAAUGAAUUGACGGGGGCCCGCACAAGCGGUGGAGCAUGUGGUUUAAUUCGAUGCAACGCGAAGAACCUUACCUGGUCUUGACAUCCACAGAACUUUCCAGAGAUGGAUUGGUGCCUUCGGGAACUGUGAGACAGGUGCUGCAUGGCUGUCGUCAGCUCGUGUUGUGAAAUGUUGGGUUAAGUCCCGCAACGAGCGCAACCCUUAUCCUUUGUUGCCAGCGAUUAGGUCGGGAACUCAAAGGAGACUGCCAGUGAUAAACUGGAGGAAGGUGGGGAUGACGUCAAGUCAUCAUGGCCCUUACGACCAGGGCUACACACGUGCUACAAUGGCGCAUACAAAGAGAAGCGACCUCGCGAGAGCAAGCGGACCUCAUAAAGUGCGUCGUAGUCCGGAUUGGAGUCUGCAACUCGACUCCAUGAAGUCGGAAUCGCUAGUAAUCGUGGAUUAGAAUGCCACGGUGAAUACGUUCCCGGGCCUUGUACACACCGCCCGUCACACCAUGGGAGUGGGUUGCAAAAGAAGUAGGUAGCUUAACCUUCGGGAGGGCGCUUACCACUUUGUGAUUCAUGACUGGGGUGAAGUCGUAACAAGGUAACC